AAUAGAUACCCCGGUAGUCCACGCCGUAAACGAUGGAUACUAGCUGUUGGGCGCAAGUUCAGUGGCUAAGCGAAAGUGAUAAGUAUCCCACCUGGGGAGUACGUUCGCAAGAAUGAAACUCAAAGGAAUUGACGGGGGCCUGCACAAGCGGUGGAGCAUGUGGUUUAAUUCGAUGAUACGCGAGGAACCUUACCAAGGCUUAAAUGUAGAUUGACCGGUUUGGAAACAGAUCUUUCGCAAGACAAUUUACAAGGUGCUGCAUGGUUGUCGUCAGCUCGUGCCGUGAGGUGUCAGGUUAAGUCCUAUAACGAGCGCAACCCCUGUUGUUAGUUGCCAGCGAGUCAAGUCGGGAACUCUAACAAGACUGCCAGUGCAAACUGUGAGGAAGGUGGGGAUGACGUCAAAUCAUCACGGCCCUUACGCCUUGGGCUACACACGUGCUACAAUGGCCGGUACAGAGAGCAGCCACUGGGUGACCAGGGGCGAAUCUAUAAAACCGGUCACAGUUCGGAUCGGAGUCUGCAACUCGACUCC
Molecule: ribosomal RNA, 534 nt
Filed under: uncultured bacterium
Lineage: Bacteria
Description: bacterial SSU rRNA
Rfam family: Bacterial small subunit ribosomal RNA
Source: RNAcentral